Molecule: long non-coding RNA, 4237 nt
Organism: Brassica napus (rape)
Lineage: Eukaryota; Viridiplantae; Streptophyta; Magnoliopsida; Brassicales; Brassicaceae
Exons: 2
Source: RefSeq, a predicted model, not a curated record
GAGUUUCUUGUCUUUGUUGUUGAUAUUAAUCGUUUGGUUAUUUUUAAUCUGGAUUAUAUCUUACGUUUCAUGUUGGUGUUUGUAAGUUUGGUUCCCUAUUUUAGGGCUUGUUGAUUUUGGGAAACUUUGGUUCCGUUCGCCGACAUAUUCUUCGGUGAUGCUCCGUGGUGAGCCGCUUAGUUUUAUAUCCCAUCUUUGUGUCCUUUUUAAUAUAAAAUUUAUAUAGCACAAAAGAAAUGGAGCUUCCGAGGGAAAACAAUGAAUUGCAAGCCUGAUACCACUAGAGUAUCCAUAGAAAUUGCUUACAUCAGAUGUGGGCAUUUUUCGGUUUAAUUAUGGAUUCGUCUUGGGUUCGGUUCGGUUCGGUUUAUAUGGGUCUAAUAAAAAUUUAACCAAAGUUAACUCUAAUUAGUUUUGUUUGGUUUGAUUUUAGUUCGUUUGAUUUUAAUUCGGUUUGGUUUGUGUUUGGUUCGGUUUAAUAUGGUUUUGUUUGAAGUUUAGUCGAGUUCACUUUUUAGUUUUAUUCUAGUUCAGUUACAAAAAUAUAAUUUAUAAAAACAUAAAAACUCAUGAUUCGACACUAAAUAAUUAUUUUUUCAUAUUUAAACGUAAAGCCAAACAUCACAAUGUAAAAGAUGUAAUCCAAUAAUUUUAUAUUAUUUUCUUCAAACCUAAUGUGGCAAUCUACUUUGGUGUUUACAUUCAGUACACCCUUCAGUCAAUAACUCAGAAAAUGGUGUUAGAAAGUGCUUAGGUGGUUAGUUCCAAGAAAAUUUCAUCAUCCUCAACUGACUUUGUUUUGACCCAAUAAAACAAUAUAACUGACAUUCAAAACAAAAUACAACAUCAGUAAGACCUCCUCCAAACUUAACCAACAUUGUCUCCAAUAUUAUACAGUCUGAAAUUGGCAAAAGAAAUAAAUAAAAAUUGUAAAAAUUGAACAAGGAAACUCGAGUAUACAUGCAUGCGGUAAUGAGUGUCGAUCGACACUGUUAAGUGCCGAUUGAUGCUCAUGUGAAGUAGUGUCGACCAACACUUGCCAGCUGCCGAUCAAUGCUGGUACUUGAAUCGUUUUCUUCGUCUUUUUUUAUAAAAUUAAAAAAAAACGAAAAGUACCUAAUAGUGGGUUGCUUCCCACUCAAUGUCUGUUUAUAGUUUUUAGCUUGACGUUUGGAAUUUUAAAUUAGGCUUGAAGCGAAUGAGAACUUGUUGGAAAAAGAGUCUCAACAUCUUCUGCAGUCAUUUUGAACCAACAGCCCACAAAGCGGCAUCGUCACCUCUUGCUCUUUGUUGUUAUUAUCUCCUCACAGUAGCACCAAUCUGAUACACACGAACUUCCAGCAUACUUCCACGGUUACUUAUCCACUCGAUCUUGUUAUUCUGCUGGAUGUAGGUUGCAUCCAGCUUUCCACAUAAAUCAGCUACCAUUUUUUCCUGGCCUAUAAAGAUAUGUUCCAGCAUAGCAUGUUUAUUGCUUCUUCUAGUUGUUGCUGAUGGAAUUUGAUAAGAGGAGGCAAUGUAGUUCCUUAUGGUUUUGUUGUUCCUUUGGAAGGGUCUAAGAGCCUUAUGUGUCAUGUGAUUCUCAUUUCCUACCAUCACAAGACAUUAUGAGUAUAUCAGAGAUUGCAGCCUCUGAUGCAUUAAUAAGUUCACCUUUAUUCACUACAAGAAAUAUGUGUAUUGGUAGCAGUUCGUGGUAGCACGAAUUCACGAACUGCUACCAAAAGUGUCAAAAUUAGAUCAUAAUUCUAUUGUAGCACUAAAUUCGCGCUACGGAAAUGUUUUAUUAAAUAAAAACGCAGAAAUCAGUUUUGUAGCGGGAAUAUCAUUUUGGAGGCAAAAACACUUGACUGAAAUUUCACAUUCGCACCAACAAAAAAAACUAAAGUUAUUUUUUGCCUAAGUAAGUUAUUUUUCACAAAGAAGUAAAAGAAAAAUCAUUAUGUCUAUCUUCUUCUUCGCUGUUCACUUAGACUUGAUCUAUCCAUUCCAAUCGAAGAAACUCGAAUGGAUUGGCCUAGUUCAAAGUCGGACUGAGGAACCCUAUUCCGUCAAGCCACUAGAUCUCGUCGCCGUAGACUCUUCUUCUUCUUCUUUCCGAAACUCCUCCAUCCAUGGCGAAUUGGCUCCUUCGCCUUCCUCUGUCGCUCCUUCGCCUUCAUCACAUUUGUCGUCUCUCACUUCUUCUUCCUCUUAUUCUUCCUCUUCUUCUGCCCUUCGUUUUAUUGAUUUCAAUUGAAUAGAAACUAAAACUCUAGAGGGGACCCGACUCUUUAAACCUUUUUUGGUUUAGUUUGAUAAAAUAAUUUUAACUAUAAAAUCUAACACAAGAAAACUAUUAAUUAAAUUUCAAUACAAAAUAUUAAUUAAAUUUCUAUAAGAAUUCGGUAAAAAAACAUAAUAUAAUAAAGACAAAUAAAAGAAAGACAAAAAACUUAAUCGGAUACCCUACACAUAAAACUCAAACCCUACGUACAAAACCAUAAUUUCAUCUUUAUUUAUUUAAUUGGUUACUUUUAAAAAUAUUUAAACACAUAAUUUAAAUAUAAAUUAAAACCUAAAUUAUUUCAUUGGUUUGGGGGUAUCGCUUAAUCCAAACCAUUAAAGCUGACGAAAAAAUCCAAAACAUUAAACUUAUAACUUAAUUCAAAACAAUAAACAUAUAACCUAAAAACCCUAUUCCCUACACUCUAAACUUUAAAGACAACCCCAAACCUUGUAUUUUAAUUUAUAUGUCUGAGUGUAAAUCAAAGGAUAAAAAUGAUAACUAGAGUUUUGAUAUAAUUAUAGAAUAGUUUAUAUGCAAACCCUAAAUUUUAUAACUUAACCCCAAACCCUAAACCCCAAAACUUAACUAUCAACCUCUAAUGUAUACUUAAUCAUAUAUAAACAUUUUAAACAUUAGUUAUAUCAAAUCUAUUUUAAUCUAUUUUCAAAACUUAAUCUCAAAUUCUAUACCAUAAAUCCCAAACCUUAUACAUUAGACCAAAAACUUUAGUAAUCUAAUUACUCUACUAAAAUCUAUUCCUUAUACAAAAUUAUAACUUUAUAAAUUUGUUUUUCAAAUUUUAAUUUAACCAUAAUUCUAUAUAAUAAGCCUCAAACCUAUAAUAUAUAUUUUAAAAUGAACUCCAAGUAUAUUCUAAAAUUCAAACCCUAAACAUAAACUUUAAAAUCUCAAUCUUUUGACAUAUAACUUCAGGCUUAGAUUUAAAUUCAAAACCUAAUCUUUUUGGUCUUAAUUUAUAACUUCUUAAACAAAAACCUUAAUACUGAAAUUUACUAAAUAUAAACUUCAAAUCCAAAUUUCAAAUAUUUAAUACUUCGAAUUUAAACUCCAAAACACAAACUUUAAUUUGAAAAUUAAACCUUAUAUCAUGAUAAUAAAAUUUUCAUUUUACACUUUUAGUCACGAAAAUAAAUUAUAAACUAUAAAUAAAAACUUUUAACCCAAACUCUGAACUUAAAUAUCUUUUUCAGUUAUACUUUUAACUGAAAAUUGUAAACUUGAUUUAAUUUAAAAAACAGUGUACAAUAAAGAAGAAGAAAAACAAAAAGAGAAAAGAGAAAAAAGUCUUGACCAAUGAGAGAGAAUGACGAGGAUAACAAGGAUUGCAUUUUAAGCCGUUGAUUUUAUUUAAUCUAAUGGCCCAAAUCUAUUUUUCCUCCUUCUCUCCCUUACGAAGAAGCCUCUUCCUCUUUCUCACUUCUACCAAAACGUUUUAUGUCUUUCUUCUCACUUCCUCUUAUUUUUAUCUAAAAAGUCUUGUAUAUUUCUCUAAUUGUUUGUUGACUGAGCCUUUCCAUCUCUCUUCUUCGUUUCUGUUCUCUGUAGAUCGAAAGUAGUUUGCUCCUUAUCUUAUUCUCUCGUACGUCUCUGCACCAUUUCUCCAACCAAGAAAAAGCCUCACAGUUCUCACGGCAAAGAUGCUCACAGAGAAAGGAAGAAGCCGGAUCUGAAGCAGUUGUGGUGUGGAGAUGGCAAAGGUUUUAGCGGUGGUGGUGGUGGUGGAGCCGCGGAAUGAACAGCGGAGGGAGAUGUUGGAGCGCUGUGUUGACGGAGACGGAGGCGCAGCUGAUAUGCGGCCGUUUAGGUUUAGGAUUUGUUAAUUAGGUUUUGGUUAGUUAGGUUUGGUAUAAUGUCUUUUAAUUAGUUUUUGGUUUAGGGGUGUUAUUGGUUUAUGUAUUUUAAUGAAUUUGAAAAUCCAAACCAAAUACAGUGUUAUUGUUUUUAUGA